This 406-nucleotide ribosomal RNA is filed under the name Parvimonas sp. oral taxon 110. RNAcentral describes it as "bacterial SSU rRNA". It matches the Rfam family "Bacterial small subunit ribosomal RNA", at positions 40 to 432 of the family's 1533-position model. Lineage: Bacteria; Bacillati; Bacillota; Tissierellia; Tissierellales; Peptoniphilaceae. The record is from RNAcentral.
CGGGCGUCUUAACAUGCAAGUCGAACGUGAUUUUUGUGGAAAGCCCUUCGGGGACGGAAAUGAAAUGAAAGUGGCGAACGGGUGAGUAACACGUGAGCAACCUACCUUACACAGGGGGAUAGCCGUUGAAAACGACGAUUAAUACCGCAUGAGACCACAAAACCACAUGGCUUAGGGGUAAAAGAUUUAUCGGUGUAAGAUGGGCUCGCGUCUGAUUAGCUAGUUGGAAGGGUAAAGGCCUACCAAGGCAACGAUCAGUAGCCGGUCUGAGAGGAUGAACGGCCACAUUGGAACUGAGACACGGUCCAAACUCCUAGGGAGGCAGCAGUGGGGAAUAUUGCACAAUGGGGGGAACCCUGAUGCAGCGACGCCGCGUGAGCGAAGAAGGUUUUCGAAUCGUAAAGCU